Molecule: unclassified non-coding RNA, 283 nt
Organism: Rhinopithecus bieti (black snub-nosed monkey)
Lineage: Eukaryota; Metazoa; Chordata; Mammalia; Primates; Cercopithecidae
Rfam family: Metazoan signal recognition particle RNA
About the family: The signal recognition particle (SRP) is a universally conserved ribonucleoprotein.
Source: Ensembl
UCCGGGUGCAGUGGCACGCGCCUGUGGUCCCAGCUACUGCUGAGGCAGGAGGACGGCUUGAGUCUGGGCGUUCUGGGCUGUAGUGUGCUAUGUCGAUCUGGUGUCUGCACCGAGACUGGUAGCAGUAUGGUGAUCUCCUGGGAGUGGGGGAUCACCAGGUUGCCUAAGGAGGAGUGAACCAGCCCAGGCUGGUGAAACAGAGCAAGUGAAACUCCAGAGUGGGAUCGCACCUCUGAAUGGCCACUGCACUCCAGCCUGGGCAACAUAGCGAGACCUCAUCUCU